AGAGUUUGAUCCUGGCUCAGGAUGAACGCUGGCGGCGUGCCUAACACAUGCAAGUCGAGCGAGAACUUAUGUAAAGAAACUUCGGUAGAUUUACAAAAGGGAAAGCGGCGGACGGGUGAGUAACGCGUAGGCAACCUGCCCCAUACAGGGGGAUAGCCACCGGAAACGGUGAUUAAUACCUCAUAAAGCAUAGAUAACACAUGUUAAAGAUGUCAAAGAGAAUUCGGUAUGGGAUGGGCCUGCGUCUGAUUAGCUGGUUGGUAAGGUAGCGGCUUACCAAGGCGACGAUCAGUAGCCGGCCUGAGAGGGUGAACGGCCACAUUGGAACUGAGACACGGUCCAGACUCCUACGGGAGGCAGCAGUGGGGAAUAUUGCACAAUGGGCGAAAGCCUGAUGCAGCAACGCCGCGUGAAGGAAGAAGGCUUUCGAGUCGUAAACUUCUGUCCAAAGGGAAGAAUAAUGACGGUACCUUUGAAAAAAGCCCCGGCUAACUACGUGCCAGCAGCCGCGGU
This 513-nucleotide ribosomal RNA is filed under the name Eubacterium sp. oral clone BP1-27. RNAcentral's name for it is "bacterial SSU rRNA". It matches the Rfam family "Bacterial small subunit ribosomal RNA", at positions 8 to 521 of the family's 1533-position model. Lineage: Bacteria; Bacillati; Bacillota; Clostridia; Eubacteriales; Eubacteriaceae. The record is from RNAcentral.